UGACUAAUGAUAUGAAAAACCAUCGUUGUCAUUCAACUAUAAGAAC
This 46-nucleotide transfer RNA is filed under the name Bos indicus (zebu cattle). RNAcentral's name for it is "partial tRNA-Glu". Lineage: Eukaryota; Metazoa; Chordata; Mammalia; Artiodactyla; Bovidae. The record is from RNAcentral.